RNAcentral lists this ribosomal RNA (253 nucleotides) under uncultured bacterium. RNAcentral's name for it is "partial 16S ribosomal RNA". It matches the Rfam family "Bacterial small subunit ribosomal RNA", at positions 524 to 776 of the family's 1533-position model. The record is from RNAcentral.
UACGUAGGGUGCGAGCGUUGUCCGGAAUUAUUGGGCGUAAAGGGCUCGUAGGCGGUUUGUCGCGUCGGGAGGGAAAACCCAGGGCUUAACCCUGGGCUGGCUUUCGAUACGGGCAGACUAGAGGUAUGCAGGGGAGAACGGAAUUCCUGGUGUAGCGGUGGAAUGCGCAGAUAUCAGGAGGAACACCGGUGGCGAAGGCGGCACGCUGGGCCGGCCCUGACGCUGAGGCGCGAAAGCGUGGGGAGCGAACGGG